This 95-nucleotide signal recognition particle RNA is filed under the name Deltaproteobacteria bacterium. Its description in RNAcentral is "signal recognition particle sRNA small type". It matches the Rfam family "Bacterial small signal recognition particle RNA". Rfam says of the family: The signal recognition particle (SRP) is a universally conserved ribonucleoprotein involved in the co-translational targeting of proteins to membranes. Archaeal SRP consists of a 7S RNA and homologues of the eukaryotic SRP19 and SRP54 proteins. The record is from RNAcentral. Lineage: Bacteria; Pseudomonadati; Myxococcota; Myxococcia.
UGCCAGCCCCCUGAAUCGACCACCAGCUAACCCCGUCAGGUCCGGAAGGAAGCAGCGGUCCGCAUCGUGGUCGUGUCAGGGAUAAUCUGGCAGUC